Molecule: long non-coding RNA, 1500 nt
Organism: Pecten maximus
Lineage: Eukaryota; Metazoa; Mollusca; Bivalvia; Pectinida; Pectinidae
Exons: 2
Source: RefSeq, a predicted model, not a curated record
AUAACGAUUACUAUAUAACCUUGUUGUUGGUGACCAAACUAUCAUUACUAAACUUACAUCUCAUCGUUCAUCAUGUGCUGAACACUGAUUUCCCCAAGGUUUUUCUGAACAACAGGAAUCACGAUGUUCUAGAGAUAAUCAACAUGGGGAUAUAAAGAUAGAGCAAUAAAUCUCGCCAUGUAAUGUUGUGCUGAAGCAACAAAUCAGUAUGGUGAUUUAAGGAGAAAGUAAAGGAAUUCACGGGACGUUGGACCUGGAGGAAUUGCCACUUGCUAAUUAAUAUGGCGUAUUAAGGCGGCGUGGACCUAAUGGACGUCAAGACAGGGAAAUGAUUCGUUACAGUUGAAUAGUGAAUGCUGUGCAUGCACUUCAACAAACAUGGCUGAAAGUCACGUGUAUGAUAUGCACGUGCGUUUCGGUCGCCGAGACGGAAAGGACCUAGAUGUGGGCUAGGCAAUAUCUGCCCAAUGCCCAAGGGCGAUAUGUCAACACCUGAAACGUAUGAUGGAUGAUCGCCCGAACAACAUCGCACGGAUGCACCUGGCCUUGAUGGGAUCUGUACUCUCCUAGAAACGCCAAUGGCAUUUUUAAAGGAGACGAACAUCCAUGGAAUGAUCGGUUACGGAAUCGAGUGGGAGGAUGUGUGAAGGUGGGGAUUGUGUCAUCACCGUCAAAAUGGCGACUCACGAGAAAAGGGCCCGCGAAGGGGCCCGGGGGGUGGGGAUCGGGGAACGGGAGGGCGGGAUUUUCUUUCUUUCAUAUUUGUUUCCAAGCUCAGAUUUUCAGAUUUUCAAAACAAUUCAAAAUUCCAAAAUCAAUACUCUUCUAAAAGACGGAAUAAAAACCGUUGCGGACGUUUCACCUAUUCCAAUUACCAAAUCAAGCACAUUGCCACCGGACCUGAACAAAAGGUCAUUGAAACUUUUUGAAACUCUAGAAGAACUGGGUAUUUCAACUGAAAGUGUUAAUUAUGAACCGAAAGAACACAGGGACGCGGCUGACGACACGAUCUAUUGCAAGAAUCUAUUUCUCAAAGACAGAAAGGGACGCUUUUAUUUGGUAAUAUGUCACGAAGACGAAAUCGUUGAUUUGAAAUAUUUGAGACAAAAACUUAAAGCUUACAGAAACUUUUCUUUUGCUUCUGCUACUGAGGUGUCAUGGAUUCUAGGUGUGUGUCCAGGGGAGGUGACUCCGUUAGCCUUACACGAAGACAGAGAAGGGAAAGUCAGAGUUGCAGCUACGCCGUCGAUUUGCGUUACAGAAGAUCUCCUCAACUUCCAUCCGUUGGAUAAACGGUAUGCUACUCGUAUGACAUUCCUUGACCUUCAGAGAUUUCUCACCAACUGUGGACACACACUGGAAAUUCUGACCACAUAAAACCCUAUGCACUCUACUACAUUUCUCGGUUAAAAUAAAAGAACAAAAUUAUUUCAAAUGAUAUUUUUAUCAAGUGUUUUUCAGAUAUGUAUACAUAUGGGGAUUAAAAGAACGUAAAUUGAA